This 253-nucleotide ribosomal RNA is filed under the name uncultured bacterium. Its description in RNAcentral is "partial 16S ribosomal RNA". It matches the Rfam family "Bacterial small subunit ribosomal RNA", at positions 524 to 776 of the family's 1533-position model. The record is from RNAcentral.
UACGGGGGGUGCGAGCGUUGUCCGGAAUCACUGGGCGUAAAGGGCGCGUAGGUGGUCUGAUAAGGGUGUGGUGAAAGUCCGGGGCUCAACCCCGGAUCUGCCGUGCCGACUGUCAGACUCGAGGACUGUAGAGGCAGGCGGAAUUCCGGGUGUAGCGGUGGAAUGCGUAGAGAUCAGGAGGAACACCGGUGGCGAAGGCGGGUCUCUGGGCCGAUACUGACGCUGAGGAGCGAAAGCGUGGGGAGCGAACAGG